This 253-nucleotide ribosomal RNA is filed under the name uncultured bacterium. Its description in RNAcentral is "partial 16S ribosomal RNA". It matches the Rfam family "Bacterial small subunit ribosomal RNA", at positions 524 to 776 of the family's 1533-position model. The record is from RNAcentral.
UACGUAGGGUGCAAGCGUUGUCCGGCAUUAUUGGGCAUAAAGAGCUCGUAGGCGGUUUGUCGCGUCGGCUGUGAAAACUCGGGGCUCAACCCCGAGCCUGCAGUCGAUACGGGCAGACUAGAGUGCUGUAGGGGAGACUGGAAUUCCUGGUGUAGCGGUGAAAUGCGCAGAUAUCAGGAGGAACACCGGUGGCGAAGGCGGCCUUCUGGACAGUGACUGACGCUGAGACGCGAAAGCGUGGGGAGCAAACAGG